UUAAGUUAUUAAGGGCGCACGGUGGAUGCCUUGGCACUAGAAGCCGAUGAAGGACGUUACUAACGACGAUAUGCUUUGGGGAGCUGUAAGUAAGCUUUGAUCCAGAGAUUUCCGAAUGGGGAAACCCAGCAUGAGUUAUGUCAUGUUAUCGAUAUGUGAAUACAUAGCAUAUCAGAAGGCACACCCGGAGAACUGAAACAUCUUAGUACCCGGAGGAAGAGAAAGAAAAUUCGAUUCCCUUAGUAGCGGCGAGCGAAACGGGAAGAGCCCAAACCAACAAGCUUGCUUGUUGGGGUUGUAGGACACUCUGUACGGAGUUACAAAGGACGACAUUAGACGAAUCAUCUGGAAAGAUGAAUCAAAGAAGGUAAUAAUCCUGUAGUCGAAAAUGUUGUCUCUCUUGAGUGGAUCCUGAGUACGACGGAGCACGUGAAAUUCCGUCGGAAUCUGGGAGGACCAUCUCCUAAGGCUAAAUACUCUCUAGUGACCGAUAGUGAACCAGUACCGUGAGGGAAAGGUGAAAAGCACCCCGGAAGGGGAGUGAAAUAGAACCUGAAACCGUGUGCUUACAAGUAGUCAGAGCCCGUUAAUGGGUGAUGGCGUGCCUUUUGUAGAAUGAACCGGCGAGUUACGAUUUGAUGCAAGGUUAAGCAGUAAAUGUGGAGCCGUAGCGAAAGCGAGUCUGAAUAGGGCGUUUAGUAUUUGGUCGUAGACCCGAAACCAGGUGAUCUACCCUUGGUCAGGUUGAAGUUCAGGUAACACUGAAUGGAGGGCCGAACCGACUUACGUUGAAAAGUGAGCGGAUGAACUGAGGGUAGCGGAGAAAUUCCAAUCGAACCUGGAGAUAGCUGGUUCUCUCCGAAAUAGCUUUAGGGCUAGCCUCAAGUGAUGAUUAUUGGAGGUAGAGCACUGUUUGGACGAGGGGCCCCUCUCGGGUUACCGAAUUCAGACAAACUCCGAAUGCCAAUUAAUUUAACUUGGGAGUCAGAACAUGGGUGAUAAGGUCCGUGUUCGAAAGGGAAACAGCCCAGACCACCAGCUAAGGUCCCAAAAUAUAUGUUAAGUGGAAAAGGAUGUGGCGUUGCCCAGACAACUAGGAUGUUGGCUUAGAAGCAGCCAUCAUUUAAAGAGUGCGUAAUAGCUCACUAGUCGAGUGACACUGCGCCGAAAAUGUACCGGGGCUAAACAUAUUACCGAAGCUGUGGAUUGUCCUUUGGACAAUGGUAGGAGAGCGUUCUAAGGGCGUUGAAGCAUGAUCGUAAGGACAUGUGGAGCGCUUAGAAGUGAGAAUGCCGGUGUGAGUAGCGAAAGACGGGUGAGAAUCCCGUCCACCGAUUGACUAAGGUUUCCAGAGGAAGGCUCGUCCGCUCUGGGUUAGUCGGGUCCUAAGCUGAGGCCGACAGGCGUAGGCGAUGGAUAACAGGUUGAUAUUCCUGUACCACCUAUAAUCGUUUUAAUCGAUGGGGGGACGCAGUAGGAUAGGCGAAGCGUGCGAUUGGAUUGCACGUCUAAGCAGUAAGGCUGAGUAUUAGGCAAAUCCGGUACUCGUUAAGGCUGAGCUGUGAUGGGGAGAAGACAUUGUGUCUUCGAGUCGUUGAUUUCACACUGCCGAGAAAAGCCUCUAGAUAGAAAAUAGGUGCCCGUACCGCAAACCGACACAGGUAGUCAAGAUGAGAAUUCUAAGGUGAGCGAGCGAACUCUCGUUAAGGAACUCGGCAAAAUGACCCCGUAACUUCGGGAGAAGGGGUGCUCUUUAGGGUUAACGCCCAGAAGAGCCGCAGUGAAUAGGCCCAAGCGACUGUUUAUCAAAAACACAGGUCUCUGCUAAACCGUAAGGUGAUGUAUAGGGGCUGACGCCUGCCCGGUGCUGGAAGGUUAAGAGGAGUGGUUAGCUUCUGCGAAGCUACGAAUCGAAGCCCCAGUAAACGGCGGCCGUAACUAUAACGGUCCUAAGGUAGCGAAAUUCCUUGUCGGGUAAGUUCCGACCCGCACGAAAGGCGUAACGAUUUGGGCACUGUCUCAACGAGAGACUCGGUGAAAUCAUAGUACCUGUGAAGAUGCAGGUUACCCGCGACAGGACGGAAAGACCCCGUGGAGCUUUACUGUAGCCUGAUAUUGAAAUUCGGCACAGCUUGUACAGGAUAGGUAGGAGCCUUUGAAACGUGAGCGCUAGCUUACGUGGAGGCGCUGGUGGGAUACUACCCUAGCUGUGUUGGCUUUCUAACCCGCACCACUUAUCGUGGUGGGAGACAGUGUCAGGCGGGCAGUUUGACUGGGGCGGUCGCCUCCUAAAAGGUAACGGAGGCGCUCAAAGGUUCCCUCAGAAUGGUUGGAAAUCAUUCAUAGAGUGUAAAGGCAUAAGGGAGCUUGACUGCGAGACCUACAAGUCGAGCAGGGUCGAAAGACGGACUUAGUGAUCCGGUGGUUCCGCAUGGAAGGGCCAUCGCUCAACGGAUAAAAGCUACCCCGGGGAUAACAGGCUUAUCUCCCCCAAGAGUUCACAUCGACGGGGAGGUUUGGCACCUCGAUGUCGGCUCAUCGCAUCCUGGGGCUGUAGUCGGUCCCAAGGGUUGGGCUGUUCGCCCAUUAAAGCGGUACGCGAGCUGGGUUCAGAACGUCGUGAGACAGUUCGGUCCCUAUCCGUCGUGGGCGUAGGAAAUUUGAGAGGAGCUGUCCUUAGUACGAGAGGACCGGGAUGGACAUACCUCUGGUGUACCAGUUGUCGUGCCAACGGCAUAGCUGGGUAGCUAUGUGUGGACGGGAUAAGUGCUGAAAGCAUCUAAGCAUGAAGCCCCCCUCAAGAUGAGAUUUCCCAACUUCGGUUAUAAGAUCCCUCAAAGAUGAUGAGGUUAAUAGGUUCGAGGUGGAAGCAUGGUGACAUGUGGAGCUGACGAAUACUAAUCGAUCGAAGACUUAAUCAA
Molecule: ribosomal RNA, 2921 nt
Filed under: Staphylococcus aureus DAR3847
Lineage: Bacteria; Bacillati; Bacillota; Bacilli; Caryophanales; Staphylococcaceae
Description: bacterial LSU rRNA
Rfam family: Bacterial large subunit ribosomal RNA
Source: RNAcentral